Molecule: ribosomal RNA, 253 nt
Filed under: uncultured bacterium
Lineage: Bacteria
Description: partial 16S ribosomal RNA
Rfam family: Bacterial small subunit ribosomal RNA
Source: RNAcentral
GACAGAGGGUGCAAACGUUGUUCGGAAUUACUGGGCGUAAAGCGCGUGUAGGCGGCCCUGCAAGUCGGAUGUGAAAUCCCACGGCUCAACCGUGGAAGUGCAUUCGAAACUGCAGGGCUAGAGUCCUGGAGAGGAAGGUGGAAUGCUUGGUGUAGAGGUGAAAUGCGUAGAUAUCGUCAAGAACACCUAUAGCGAAGGCAGCUUACUAGGCUGUAACUGACGCUGAGGCACGAAAGUGUGGGGAUCAAACAGG